Molecule: ribosomal RNA, 360 nt
Filed under: Triticum aestivum (bread wheat)
Lineage: Eukaryota; Viridiplantae; Streptophyta; Magnoliopsida; Poales; Poaceae
Description: partial small subunit ribosomal RNA
Source: RNAcentral
AUGAGUUGUAUUAGUUGGAACUGCCGGAGGCUUGGGAACCCCGAGGCAGUUCGUGAACUUCGCAAUAUUGUGAAGUUGGAAGGCCCCGCUCUGCUCUUUGUAAUGGAAACGAAAAUUAGAGCUAAAAGAGUAGAGGAUUUACAGAGUAGUUUGGGAUUUGCUGGUAGCUUUGCUAUAGACAGUGCGGGCCUCAGUGGUGGCAUUGGCCUGUUUUGGUCACGCGAUGUGUCAGUUGAACUUAAAACCUAUAGUCAACGGCAUAUCGAUGUUUUUGUUACUAACAAGUUGUUGAACUCUCCACCUUGGAGAUUCAGGGGUUUCUAUGGAGCAUCGCGUGCUGAGGAGAGGCAUCAUAGCUAG